RNAcentral lists this ribosomal RNA (1569 nucleotides) under Lactiplantibacillus plantarum. RNAcentral describes it as "Lactobacillus plantarum 16S ribosomal RNA". It matches the Rfam family "Bacterial small subunit ribosomal RNA". Lineage: Bacteria; Bacillati; Bacillota; Bacilli; Lactobacillales; Lactobacillaceae. The record is from RNAcentral.
CAUUAAUUUGAGAGUUUGAUCCUGGCUCAGGACGAACGCUGGCGGCGUGCCUAAUACAUGCAAGUCGAACGAACUCUGGUAUUGAUUGGUGCUUGCAUCAUGAUUUACAUUUGAGUGAGUGGCGAACUGGUGAGUAACACGUGGGAAACCUGCCCAGAAGCGGGGGAUAACACCUGGAAACAGAUGCUAAUACCGCAUAACAACUUGGACCGCAUGGUCCGAGUUUGAAAGAUGGCUUCGGCUAUCACUUUUGGAUGGUCCCGCGGCGUAUUAGCUAGAUGGUGGGGUAACGGCUCACCAUGGCAAUGAUACGUAGCCGACCUGAGAGGGUAAUCGGCCACAUUGGGACUGAGACACGGCCCAAACUCCUACGGGAGGCAGCAGUAGGGAAUCUUCCACAAUGGACGAAAGUCUGAUGGAGCAACGCCGCGUGAGUGAAGAAGGGUUUCGGCUCGUAAAACUCUGUUGUUAAAGAAGAACAUAUCUGAGAGUAACUGUUCAGGUAUUGACGGUAUUUAACCAGAAAGCCACGGCUAACUACGUGCCAGCAGCCGCGGUAAUACGUAGGUGGCAAGCGUUGUCCGGAUUUAUUGGGCGUAAAGCGAGCGCAGGCGGUUUUUUAAGUCUGAUGUGAAAGCCUUCGGCUCAACCGAAGAAGUGCAUCGGAAACUGGGAAACUUGAGUGCAGAAGAGGACAGUGGAACUCCAUGUGUAGCGGUGAAAUGCGUAGAUAUAUGGAAGAACACCAGUGGCGAAGGCGGCUGUCUGGUCUGUAACUGACGCUGAGGCUCGAAAGUAUGGGUAGCAAACAGGAUUAGAUACCCUGGUAGUCCAUACCGUAAACGAUGAAUGCUAAGUGUUGGAGGGUUUCCGCCCUUCAGUGCUGCAGCUAACGCAUUAAGCAUUCCGCCUGGGGAGUACGGCCGCAAGGCUGAAACUCAAAGGAAUUGACGGGGGCCCGCACAAGCGGUGGAGCAUGUGGUUUAAUUCGAAGCUACGCGAAGAACCUUACCAGGUCUUGACAUACUAUGCAAAUCUAAGAGAUUAGACGUUCCCUUCGGGACAUGGAUACAGGUGGUGCAUGGUUGUCGUCAGCUCGUGUCGUGAGAUGUUGGGUUAAGUCCCGCAACGAGCGCAACCCUUAUUAUCAGUUGCCAGCAUUAAGUUGGGCACUCUGGUGAGACUGCCGGUGACAAACCGGAGGAAGGUGGGGAUGACGUCAAAUCAUCAUGCCCCUUAUGACCUGGGCUACACACGUGCUACAAUGGAUGGUACAACGAGUUGCGAACUCGCGAGAGUAAGCUAAUCUCUUAAAGCCAUUCUCAGUUCGGAUUGUAGGCUGCAACUCGCCUACAUGAAGUCGGAAUCGCUAGUAAUCGCGGAUCAGCAUGCCGCGGUGAAUACGUUCCCGGGCCUUGUACACACCGCCCGUCACACCAUGAGAGUUUGUAACACCCAAAGUCGGUGGGGUAACCUUUUAGGAACCAGCCGCCUAAGGUGGGACAGAUGAUUAGGGUGAAGUCGUAACAAGGUAGCCGUAGGAGAACCUGCGGCUGGAUCACCUCCUUU